Rhinolophus ferrumequinum (greater horseshoe bat) is the source of this 103-nucleotide small nuclear RNA. The record is from Ensembl. Lineage: Eukaryota; Metazoa; Chordata; Mammalia; Chiroptera; Rhinolophidae.
GUGCUCACUUUGACAGCACAUACAUUAAAAUUGGAAAGACAGAAGACUAGCAUGCCCCCUGCACAAAGAUGACAUGCAAAUUCUUGAAAUUGUCAAAAAAAAA